CUCGAGCGAAGCGAGAGAACGUUGCCGCAGGCAACGGCCCGAAGGGCGAGGCGCUUUAGCGCCGAGUAAUCCUUCCCUCACCACCA
RNAcentral lists this small RNA (86 nucleotides) under Klebsiella pneumoniae. RNAcentral's name for it is "partial RtT sRNA". It matches the Rfam family "RtT RNA", at positions 47 to 130 of the family's 130-position model. Rfam says of the family: This family represents a bacterial cis-regulatory element known as RtT RNA. The exact function of RtT is unknown although it is thought that it may be involved in changing the cellular response in relation to amino acid starvation. Lineage: Bacteria; Pseudomonadati; Pseudomonadota; Gammaproteobacteria; Enterobacterales; Enterobacteriaceae. The record is from RNAcentral.